This is a long non-coding RNA of Agrilus planipennis (emerald ash borer), 769 nucleotides long. RefSeq lists it as uncharacterized. Lineage: Eukaryota; Metazoa; Arthropoda; Insecta; Coleoptera; Buprestidae. The record is from RefSeq and is a predicted model, not a curated record. The transcript is spliced from 2 exons.
AAAUAAAGUUUUGUUUUAACUUACUAAAUGUUAUUACCAAUUUAUAUAAUGUAAGUAAUUACUGGGAGAGAAUUAAUCAAAUAAUCUAGCUAUUUUACAAAAUAUCUACAGUAAGACUUGCAUAAAGUAUUAAAACAUAACAAUUCUCAGUUUGUUUUACAUUGCAGGGCUAGAUAAAGUUAUUUAAGGGGAUGGAGGACAUUUUCUAAUGAAGUGUAAUUCAGAUUUAUUUUUUGAAAUUAGGCAAAAAUAUCGUAAUCUCAGAAGGGGUAUAAUAGAAAAGUGAUGAAUUUAUCAAAUUAUCUCACAAUGUAGUAAAUAUACAUAAUGCUUAGUUACUAUGUACGCAAUCGUUAUUAAAGCGCAUUGUAUGUAACGUAUAAAUCGGACGGAAGUUACUGAAAUGUAGAUACAGGGUGGAAUUUAUAUUUUUCGCUUUUAAGAAGUUUAACGAACUGUAUAAUAAUUAAACAUCCUGUAUAUGCCGUACCUUCUAAUACGUUUUUUAGAGUCUAAGUCCGGGUUCCGUGAAAACUGAACUUGCUGAAGCAGCCGGUAUUAAAAUGGACCCCAACAUGCCCUUAGCCGAUUUUCCAACUUUAAACCCGGAAGAUAUAGCAAACGGCGUUUUGUACGUCCUAAGUACCCCACCUCAUGUUCAAAUCCAGGAAUUAUCAAUUUCUCCAGUAGGUGAAGCUUGGUAGACAAUUUAUAUUAAUUUAAGGGUCGAUGUACUAGAUAAUUUUAAAAUAAACGUUAUUUUAAACUA